Molecule: non-coding RNA, 4334 nt
Organism: Delphinapterus leucas (beluga whale)
Lineage: Eukaryota; Metazoa; Chordata; Mammalia; Artiodactyla; Monodontidae
Source: RefSeq, a predicted model, not a curated record
UGUAGUUUCUUAGCCUCUCCUCCGGGGGAGGGGGGCGUUUCACUGCCACCCUGGGUGGUUGGUCUGUGGAUUGUACCACCAGAGGCAACUUCUGCAUUUGCCUCGCUUAGCUUCGGUGUUCUCACAUGCUCAAACUUUCUGCCUAAAUUCUAGAAAAGUAAAAGGCUAAGUGCUUUUUUCUUGUAAAGGGCGUUCUCUACCUUCAGAUGAACAUUGGCUGAGGGCAGCAAAGAGGUCCUCAGAUAAUGGCAACGCCCUCCCUGUAUCUUUUUUAAGAAAGAAAAAACUUCUUUGUUUAUACUACUUAUUCAUCUGAGGAACUCAACAUAUUUUAUGCGUUGAAUCAUAAAAUGUUACAGCUGCUGAUUUUUCACAGCAUGUGAACUUGAUCCAAGUUUUGUUUUUUUUUUUUACCAAGAGCGGUUUUUAAUACCUACACAUUUUUUAAAAAGAAAACUUUUUUAUACAAAUAUUACAGUGUUAAGUGACACAGUCUGGCCCUAAAGUCAGGUGUCUGCUGAGCUCUGUGGGGUUUUCCUCUCUAUCCCUAUUUGGAAAGAGCAGAGCUUGAACCCCACGCUGUCAUUUUGUUGCUGGGUGAUCCCAGGUGAAUCUUUUCCCCCACUGAGCCUCUAAGCUCGCAUCUGUACAAUGGGUUUACAACUGUCCACUUUGUGGAUGGUUUGAGACCCAAGUUAGAGAUGAUGGAUGUAAGGAACCCAGGCCCUACCCAUCCCUUCUUGUUAUGAUUCACUAAGUUUCUUGUUUUUUCCCUUCCUAGCAGAGCAAUGCUUAUAUCAUCAUGCCACUGUGUGUUUCAGCAUCUGGCAUCAGAACCUGGGGAGAAGUCCACCACAAGAUGCAGGAAAAGUUUGCCAACCCCCGAUAUGAGAUCAUGGAUGAAAAGCACUUUAGAACAAUUCCUGGCACAGGCACACAGAGGGCGUAUCACGAGGGUGGCGCAUUGCGGCAUUUCACUGUCUGUUUCAUGGGCUGAUGACUUUUAGGGGGCUGCUUCUAGAUGCCAAAGGAAGGAGACAAGGAAAUAGGCCUCAGACUCGGGCUUUCUGCCUGGCCCUCCCUGACUCACUGAGCCAUACUGCACAAAUGAUUCAUUCACUGACCUCGACCUCAGUGGGUUUGGCCGCCCACUGAGAGUGAAGUCACACCUCCAGCUUUCCAAAGCAUUCAUUGGUUCACUCAUCCGCUUCAGGCAGGCAAGAAACAGGCCUGGCUGGCCUUGCUUGGGGUCAGGAAAACACACAAAUGCUUCUCGAUGUCCUGAAGUCAUGGCUGGACAGCUCAAUUCCAGCCUAAGAGAUCCUCCGAGGGACCUGAAGUGGAUUACUAGGGUUGUCGAAACAAAGUACCACAAGCUGAGCGACUUAACAUAACAGAAAUUGCUUGUCUCAUAGUUCUGGAAGCCAGAAGUGCAAGACCAAGGUAUUGACAAGGUUAGUUCCUUCUGAGGGCUGUGAGGGAGUAUGUGUCCCAGGCCUCUCUCUUAGCUUCUGGUGGCUGGCUGGCAAUCUUUGAUGUUCCUUGACUUGUAGAGGCAUCACCCCAAUCUCUGCCUUCAUCUUCAUCAGUCACAUCAGAUUAGGUCCCACCCUAAUGAUCUCAUGUUAACUUGAUUACCUCUGUAAAGGCCCUAUUUCCAAAUAAGUUCAUGUUCUGAGGUACUUGGGGUUAGGACUUAAGCAUACCUCUCAGGGGGAACAUAAUUCAACCCAAAACAGGGCCCCAAAGAUAGCCCCCUAAUAAUAACAUGUUCAAUACCAUAAAGAUGUCCAUUUGACCCAGGUAAAUAUAUCCAUUUAAAAUGAUCCUAAUGAAAAUACUGAGAGUAGAUUGGGGUUUUUUUUGUUUGUUUUUUGUUUUUAUUUUUCCUGGAGUUAAACAAGUUGAUUCUGAAGUUGAUAUGAAAUAAUUAUCAAGAAUGGCCAGGAAAACUUAAAAAGAAAGGCAGUGGGAUGGGGAUAAGUCCUACCAGAUAUUAAAACAUAUCAUAAAGCCCCAGCAUUAAAAUAGUGUAGUUAGGAACAUGACUAGCCAGACCGAACAACGGAACAGAAUAGAAAGUCCAGAAAGUUGCCCAAGUACAUAUGGAAAUUUGAUGUAUGAUGAAAGUGGCAUCUCAAAUCACUGGACAUGAUGGACUUCUUAAUAAGUGGUCUUGGGACAAUUGGACGGCCAUUUGGAAAAAAGAUAAAAGGGGACCCAUACCUCACACCAAACACUUGAAUAAAUACCCAAUGAGCCAGAGAUUCAGAUUUUUUAAAGUGAAACCUUAAAACCUGUAGAAGAAAACAUGAGGGGAUUCCUUUAUAACUCAGGAAUGAGAAAAGCCUUUCAAUGUAGGACUUGAUAAAUUCAGCUACAUAAAAAUUAAAGCUAAAUUUAAAAAAAGCUUUUUAUGGCAAAAAAAAGAAACCUGCACAAGCAAAAAUUUAAAAAAAAAAGACAAAUGGGAGCCAAUAUUUGCAACAUAGAGACAAAGGCUAAUUUCACCAAUAUUUAAGGAGUAUUUAAAAACAGAUAUGAAAAAAAUUAAAAUAUGAUUUUAAAAUGGACAAAAGUGGGAAUUCCCUGGCGGUACAGUGGUUAGCACUCCACGCUUCCAUCGCAGGGGGCAUGGGUUCGAUCCCUGGUUGGGGAACUAAGAUCCUGCAUUCUAUGUGGUGCGGCCAAAAAUAAAAUAAAAUAAAAUGGACACAAGCCAUGAGCAGAUAGUUCCAGAAAAAGAGAUGCGGAAGGACCCUGAGCAUGUGAGAAGACGCUCAUUUGUAAUCAUAAUAAGAGACAAGAAAAUUCUAAUCACACUGAGAGACCCUCAUCCUUCAGUUUGGCAAAAAUCCAAAAAUUUGAUGGUACUGUCUGCUGAGAAGUGAAAUUUGAAUAUGAAUUGGACAUUAGGUGAUAUUAUAGACGUAUUCACUUUUUGGUGGUUACUUAGGAGACCGUCUCCUUCUUAAGAGAUGCGCGCUGAAGUAUUUAGUGGUAAAAGGUCAUGAUGUUAGCAACUUCCUUGAAAUGUUCAGAAGAAAAUAAAAACAGCAGUAAAUAAAUUAAAUAUGGCACAACAUGAACAAUUGUUGAGUCUAUGUGGUGGGUAUAAGGGUGUCCAUGGAUGGCAUUCUUCUUUCAACCUUUCCGCAUGCCUGAAAUUUUUCAUAAUAAAAUGUGAGGUCCAGUCACAUGGCCUCAAGGUGAACUCUGGGUGAAGUGGAAGCUGUCAGCGAAAGCAGCUAGCUCGGCUGAGACAGUAAUAAUUAUUAACAUGAUCCAGCACUUACUGUGGGCACCGGGCACUAUUUCAACAGCCAACUCAUUAAUCUUUACUGUCCUCGUUUACAGACGAGGAAACUGAGGCAUCAGCAAUCUGCAAAAUCCACAGAGAUUUGUACUCUCCCAGCUCUGCCGAUUGAUUUAAAUCUGUGCCAGUGCCUGAGGAUUGCUAAUAGGCUUUGAAGAAGCAGCCUUAAAUCGAACUGUUAUUAAAUUGGACUAAGUUCUUUUACUCAAGCAAAAGGGUUCAGCCAAAGGGUUAGCAGGGAUCUUUCUGAUGCAUCUUAUAAACAUUAGCCAUUUAUAAGGGCUAACGUUCUGUUCUCUAAUUUAGACUGAAUACCUUCAGGCUCACUUAAGGAGAGAGAAUGAGGAGAUUAUAAUAAAGCAAUUGUGCAUUCAGUCUAAUGAUUCACCUAGCAACCCGUCAAUGGCUCUUGAUGUUGUAAGAAUGCAAAAAUCGUGUAAAGCUUGGAGCAGCUAAUUCUAUAGAAGGGACAGGAAGCCUCCCCGCCAUUGGUCAACAUCUAUGGAAAAUCAGGUAUUUAUUGCGUACAAUGCAAUGGGGAACAAACGCUUCAUGGAGCUUACAGUCUAGGGGGUGCGGCAACAGACAUCACAGUAAGAGCCAGGCACCCCCCACACAAAUAGCUACAUUUCAAGACACUCCCUCUGCAGUUGGGCUGGGCUGGCUUAGCAUCUUGGCUACUUCCUUCAUGUGACCUUGAGCAGGAGGCUUAAUAAGCUCCCUGAGGCUCAGUUUCACUACGUUUAAAUGGAAACAAUAAUUACUUUCUUGCUAGGGUCAUCAUGAGAAUAAGAAACAACUCAAACAGCCGGCAUAUCAUUUUUAUUGUUAUGAUAAGGAUGAUGACAAUAUAAUAAAUGCCGGAUGAACGGUACAGAAAAAGGGGGGAGGGGAAUACCUCUUCCUGGAGGGGGAUGGUAUGCAUGAGGGUUUUCAGGAGAAUGGGGUAGUUGGUGCUGGGUCUUAAAGGAGGGGUUGGAUUUCUGUACAAGGAAGUGGCCAAGAGUGAAUCAGUUCA